Molecule: ribosomal RNA, 468 nt
Filed under: uncultured bacterium
Lineage: Bacteria
Description: partial 16S ribosomal RNA
Rfam family: Bacterial small subunit ribosomal RNA
Source: RNAcentral
GACGAACGCUGGCGGCGUGCUUAACACAUGCAAGUCGAACGGAAAGGCCCUGCUUUUGUGGGGUGCUCGAGUGGCGAACGGGUGAGUAACACGUGAGUAACCUGCCCUUGACUUUGGGAUAACUUCAGGAAACUGGGGCUAAUACCGGAUAGGAGCUCCUGCUGCAUGGUGGGGGUUGGAAAGUUUCGGCGGUUGGGGAUGGACUCGCGGCUUAUCAGCUUGUUGGUGGGGUAGUGGCUUACCAAGGCUUUGACGGGUAGCCGGCCUGAGAGGGUGACCGGCCACAUUGGGACUGAGAUACGGCCCAGACUCCUACGGGAGGCAGCAGUGGGGAAUAUUGCACAAUGGGCGGGAGCCUGAUGCAGCAACGCCGCGUGCGGGAUGACGGCCUUCGGGUUGUAAACCGCUUUCGCUUGUGACGAAGCGUGAGUGACGGUAAUGGGUAAAGAAGCACCGGCUAACUACGUG